GGGCCCGCACAAGCGGUGGAGCAUGUGGUUUAAUUCGAUGCAACGCGAAGAACCUUACCAGGGCUUGACAUACUACGAAUUCUUUUGAAAAAAAGAAGUGCCUUCGGGAAUGUAGAUACAGGUGGUGCAUGGCUGUCGUCAGCUCGUGUCGUGAGAUGUUGGGUUAAGUCCCGCAACGAGCGCAACCCUUAUUUUUAGUUACCAAUUCGUUGGGCUCUCUAGAAAGACUGCCGGUGACAAACCGGAGGAAGGUGAGGAUGACGUCAAGUCAGCAUGCCCCUUAUGUCCUGGGCUACACACGUGCUACAAUGGCUAAGACAAAGAGUCGCAAGCUUGUGAAAGUUAGCUAAUCUCGUAAACUUAGCCUAAGUUCAGAUUGUAGGCUGCAACUCGCCUGCAUGAAGUUGGAAUCGCUAGUAAUCG
This 423-nucleotide ribosomal RNA is filed under the name uncultured bacterium. RNAcentral describes it as "bacterial SSU rRNA". It matches the Rfam family "Bacterial small subunit ribosomal RNA", at positions 917 to 1344 of the family's 1533-position model. The record is from RNAcentral.